Mandrillus leucophaeus (drill) is the source of this 1124-nucleotide RNA transcript. It is a transcript of the gene named Ig heavy chain V-III region VH26-like, with no coding region annotated. NCBI's taxonomy places the organism in Eukaryota, Metazoa, Chordata, Mammalia, Primates, Cercopithecidae. The transcript is spliced from 3 exons. The record is from RefSeq and is a predicted model, not a curated record.
CACAUGCUCUUAUUACAGAAAGUGGGUUCUCAAACCACACCGGGCACAUCCAGCUUUGUACUGAAGUUGGUUUAGGGAGCAGUCAGAGCCACUGAUGAGGAGCACAGGGUCAGAUACUGGGGUUCACUCAUCCCAGACACGAGCUCCUAGAUGCAUACAGAGCCCCCUCCAUGUGUGGGUUCACUUCCACAUUUGUAAAUGGAGAAAAUAUUGACUCCUACAGAACAUAAUUUACACGAAUAUUUAAACAUGAAAUAGGGUGAUCAAGGCAAAGUGUUUAUCACAGCACAAUUUCAUAACAAGGCAGCAUAUUUUCCAAAUACCAUCAUUGUCCGCAAACUUCUCAGGGCACCGUCUUCUGAUCUGGGUACAGCCUACUCCUCAAGAGUCCCACCCGAGGGCUUGUUAUAUAGUAGGAGACAUGCAAAUAGGGCCCUCCUUCCACUGAUGAAAACCAACCCAACCCUGGUCCUGUAGCUCUGAGAGAGGAGCCUUAGCCCUGGAUUCCAAGGCAUUUCCACGGGGUGAUCAGCCCUGAACACAGAGGACUCACCAUGGAGUUGGGGCUGAGCUGGGUUUUCCUUGUUGCUAUUUUAGAAGGUGUCCAGUGUGAGGUGCAGCUGGCGGAGUCUGGGGGAGGCUUGGUACAGCCUGGGGGGUCCCUGAGGCUCUCCUGUGCAGCCUCUGGAUUCACCUUCAGUAGCUACGAAAUGCACUGGGUCCGCCAGGCUCCAGGGAAGGGGCUGGAGUCGGUCUCAGUUAUCAGUGGUGAUAGUAGUUACACACACUACGCAGACUCUGUGAAGGGCCGAUUCACCAUCUCCAGAGACAACGCCAAGAACUCGCUGUCUCUUUAAAUGAACAGCCUGAGAGCCGAGGACACGGCCGUGUAUUACUGUGCGAGAAACACAGUGAGGGGAGGUGAGUGUGAGCCCAGACACAAACCUCCCUGCAGGGAGGCGGAGGGGGCGGGCGCAGUGGUAUUUGCCAAGGCUCAUCUCCUCCACUUGGACACUUUGGUAUAUCCACGUGUGUCCAUUCUGGUUCAGCCACGGACACAGAACCGGGAAGACAUCAUGGAUUUUCUAGAGGGAGCUGGCUUGGGGAAUCAACGGUUGGAGUAG